This 376-nucleotide ribosomal RNA is filed under the name uncultured eukaryote. Its description in RNAcentral is "partial 18S ribosomal RNA". It matches the Rfam family "Eukaryotic small subunit ribosomal RNA", at positions 592 to 975 of the family's 1831-position model. The record is from RNAcentral.
CAAUAGCGUAUAUUAAAGUUGUUGCAGUUAAAAAGCUCGUAGUUGGAUUUCGGGGCAGCCUGGCUGGUCCGCCGCAAGGCGAGUACUGGUCAGCCGCCCUUCCUCUCGAAAGCCCCGACUGCUCUUUACUGCAGUGGUCGGGUAGUUCGGGACGUUUACUUUGAAAAAAUUAGAGUGUUCAAGGCAGGCCGUCGCCUGAAUACAUUAGCAUGGAAUAAUGGAAGAGGACCUCGGUCCUAUUUUGUUGGUUUCCAGGGCCGAAGUAAUGAUUAAGAGGGACAGUUGGGGGCAUUCGUAUUUAAUUGUCAGAGGUGAAAUUCUCGGAUUUAUGAAAGACGGACAACUGCGAAAGCAUUUGCCAAGGAUGUUUNCAUUA